This is a long non-coding RNA of Linepithema humile (Argentine ant), 769 nucleotides long. RefSeq lists it as uncharacterized. NCBI's taxonomy places the organism in Eukaryota, Metazoa, Arthropoda, Insecta, Hymenoptera, Formicidae. The record is from RefSeq and is a predicted model, not a curated record.
AACGCUGUACGAGACGUGAGUUAUUUAAUCGAACAUUUUAUUUGUAAUAAUCGCGUAGUAAAAGUUUAUAAUUGUUACAAAUUUUUGUCGGAAAUAUCGAUUAAAGUGAUAGACUAUUGCCGGAUCGUAUGAUAUAUUGCGGGUGUUCGCAGUUAACAGCGUAUACAGCAUCGAGUAGAUCGCUGCGUUUAAAAUUGAUUUUGCAACAAGGUUGGAAGCAGCUAAUGUAAAAUCUGCAACAAAUGAAGCAAUUAUUCUGGUGUGGUUCUGCAAUAAAGCUAUGAGCAGUCUAAUUGAAUCUGCAAUAAGUGAAACAAACUGCAACACUCUGGUAGCUCUCCCUUCUCCCCUUCUCAUCCUCUCUCUCUUUCUCUGCUGGUUUGCAACAGAUAUUGGUCGUUUACAGUAGCAGUUUACAGUAGCAGUUUACAGUAGCUACAAAACUUUGACAACACCGGCAACGAUAAACUUUGGUGCGUCUUUCACGUUUCGAACCGUCAGAUGAGUUCGGUUGUAAUUUCUGUUGUAACAAAAUACGCAUCGUCGAAGUGCCGUUUAAAGUAUCGCGUCGGGAGUGCCGUUUAAAGUAUCGCGUCGGGAGUGCCGUUUAAAGUGUCGCGUCGUUCGUAUUUGUAUAGUGCAUAUCUUCACGAAUGCGUGUGAGAGCAAGAUCACUGAGAAAAGGAGGAGGAGGAAAAAAUAUUGGACAACGUUUAGUAACGCUGUGAUAAACUCUGUGCGUAAUCAGUGCUACAAAAUAUAUUCGCUC